UACGUAGGGUGCAAGCGUUAAUCGGAAUUACUGGGCGUAAAGCGUGCGCAGGCGGUUUUGUAAGCCAGAUGUGAAAUCCCCGGGCUCAACCUGGGAAUGGCAUUUGGGACUGCAAGGCUGGAGUUUGGCAGAGGAGACUGGAAUUCCUGGUGUAGCGGUGAAAUGCGUAGAUAUCUGGAGGAACACCGGUGGCGAAGGCGGCGUUCUGGACUGCAACUGACACUGAGAAACGAAAGCCAGGGGAGCAAACAGG
This 253-nucleotide ribosomal RNA is filed under the name uncultured bacterium. Its description in RNAcentral is "partial 16S ribosomal RNA". It matches the Rfam family "Bacterial small subunit ribosomal RNA", at positions 524 to 776 of the family's 1533-position model. The record is from RNAcentral.